CGGUUGUCCCGGUUUAAGCGUGUAGGUGUGUGUUCCAGGUAAAUCCGGUUCACUUUAACACUGAGGCGUGACGACGAGGCACUACGGUGCUGAAGCAACAAAUGCCCUGCUUCCAGGAAAAGCCUCUAAGCAUCAGGUAACAUCAAAUCGUACCCCAAACCGACACAGGUGGUCAGGUAGAGAAUACCAAGGCGCUUGAGAGAACUCGGGUGAAGGAACUAGGCAAAAUGGUGCCGUAACUUCGGGAGAAGGCACGCUGACACGUAGGUGAAGUGAUUUACUCAUGGAGCUGAAGUCAGUCGAAGAUACCAGCUGGCUGCAACUGUUUAUUAAAAACACAGCACUGUGCAAACACGAAAGUGGACGUAUACGGUGUGACGCCUGCCCGGUGCCGGAAGGUUAAUUGAUGGGGUCAGCGCAAGCGAAGCUCCUGAUCGAAGCCCCGGUAAACGGCGGCCGUAACUAUAACGGUCCUAAGGUAGCGAAAUUCCUUGUCGGGUAAGUUCCGACCUGCACGAAUGGCGUAAUGAUGGCCAGGCUGUCUCCACCCGAGACUCAGUGAAAUUGAACUCGCUGUGAAGAUGCAGUGUACCCGCGGCAAGACGGAAAGACCCCGUGAACCUUUACUAUAGCUUGACACUGAACAUUGAGCCUUGAUGUGUAGGAUAGGUGGGAGGCUUUGAAGUGUGGACGCCAGUCUGCAUGGAGCCGACCUUGAAAUACCACCCUUUAAUGUUUGAUGUUCUAACGUGGACCCGUUACCCGGGUUGCGGACAGUGUCUGGUGGGUAGUUUGACUGGGGCGGUCUCCUCCUAAAGAGUAACGGAGGAGCACGAAGGUUGGCUAAUCCUGGUCGGACAUCAGGAGGUUAGUGCAAUGGCAUAAGCCAGCUUGACUGCGAGCGUGACGGCGCGAGCAGGUGCGAAAGCAGGUCAUAGUGAUCCGGUGGUUCUGAAUGGAAGGGCCAUCGCUCAACGGAUAAAAGGUACUCCGGGGAUAACAGGCUGAUACCGCCCAAGAGUUCAUAUCGACGGCGGUGUUUGGCACCUCGAUGUCGGCUCAUCACAUCCUGGGGCUGAAGUAGGUCCCAAGGGUAUGGCUGUUCGCCAUUUAAAGUGGUACGCGAGCUGGGUUUAGAACGUCGUGAGACAGUUCGGUCCCUAUCUGCCGUGGGCGCUGGAGAACUGAGGGGGGCUGCUCCUAGUACGAGAGGACCGGAGUGGACGCAUCACUGGUGUUCGGGUUGUCAUGCCAAUGGCACUGCCCGGUAGCUAAAUGCGGAAGAGAUAAGUGCUGAAAGCAUCUAAGCACGAAACUUGCCCCGA
RNAcentral lists this ribosomal RNA (1325 nucleotides) under Salmonella enterica. RNAcentral's name for it is "partial 23S ribosomal RNA". It matches the Rfam family "Bacterial large subunit ribosomal RNA", at positions 1499 to 2802 of the family's 2925-position model. The record is from RNAcentral. Lineage: Bacteria; Pseudomonadati; Pseudomonadota; Gammaproteobacteria; Enterobacterales; Enterobacteriaceae. RNAcentral also lists the same sequence under 1 other name.